CCCUUAGAUGUUCUGGGCCGCACGCGUGCUACACUGAGUAAUUCAAUGGGUAAGGGAACGCUAGAGCAUUACCUAAUCUUGAAAUUUGCUCGUGAUGGGGAUCGACGGUUGCAAUUUUCCGUCGUGAACGAGGAAUACCUUGUAGGCGCAUGUCAUCAUCAUGCGCCGAAUACGUCCCUGCCCUUUGUACACACCGCCCGUCGCUCCUACCGAUUGAGUGAUCCGGUGAGGCUCUGGGACCUGGACGGAAAGAGCGUUUCGCUUGUUCUGUUUGGGGAACUUGGUCGAACCUUAUCAUUUAGAGGAAGGAGAAGUCGUAACA
This 322-nucleotide ribosomal RNA is filed under the name uncultured eukaryote. Its description in RNAcentral is "partial 18S ribosomal RNA". It matches the Rfam family "Eukaryotic small subunit ribosomal RNA", at positions 1470 to 1796 of the family's 1831-position model. The record is from RNAcentral.